UGCCUAAUACAUGCAAGUCGAGCGAACUGAUUAGAAGCUUGCUUCUAUGACGUUAGCGGCGGACGGGUGAGUAACACGUGGGCAACCUGCCUGUAAGACUGGGAUAACUUCGGGAAACCGAAGCUAAUACCGGAUAGGAUCUUCUCCUUCAUGGGAGAUGAUUGAAAGAUGGUUUCGGCUAUCACUUACAGAUGGGCCCGCGGUGCAUUAGCUAGUUGGUGAGGUAACGGCUCACCAAGGCAACGAUGCAUAGCCGACCUGAGAGGGUGAUCGGCCACACUGGGACUGAGACACGGCCCAGACUCCUACGGGAGGCAGCAGUAGGGAAUCUUCCGCAAUGGACGAAAGUCUGACGGAGCAACGCCGCGUGAGUGAUGAAGGCUUUCGGGUCGUAAAACUCUGUUGUUAGGGAAGAACAAGUACAAGAGUAACUGCUUGUACCUUGACGGUACCUAACCAGAAAGCCACGGCUAACUACGUGCCAGCAG
This 488-nucleotide ribosomal RNA is filed under the name Priestia megaterium. RNAcentral's name for it is "bacterial SSU rRNA". It matches the Rfam family "Bacterial small subunit ribosomal RNA", at positions 45 to 514 of the family's 1533-position model. The record is from RNAcentral. Lineage: Bacteria; Bacillati; Bacillota; Bacilli; Caryophanales; Bacillaceae.